Molecule: ribosomal RNA, 507 nt
Filed under: uncultured bacterium
Lineage: Bacteria
Description: bacterial SSU rRNA
Rfam family: Bacterial small subunit ribosomal RNA
Source: RNAcentral
AUUGAACGCUGGCGGCAGGCCUAACACAUGCAAGUCGAGCGGUAACACAGAGAGCUUGCUCUCGGGUGACGAGCGGCGGACGGGUGAGUAAUGUCUGGGAAACUGCCUGAUGGAGGGGGAUAACUACUGGAAACGGUAGCUAAUACCGCAUAACGUCGCAAGACCAAAGUGGGGGACCUUCGGGCCUCAUGCCAUCAGAUGUGCCCAGAUGGGAUUAGCUAGUAGGUGGGGUAAUGGCUCACCUAGGCGACGAUCCCUAGCUGGUCUGAGAGGAUGACCAGCCACACUGGAACUGAGACACGGUCCAGACUCCUACGGGAGGCAGCAGUGGGGAAUAUUGCACAAUGGGCGCAAGCCUGAUGCAGCCAUGCCGCGUGUAUGAAGAAGGCCUUCGGGUUGUAAAGUACUUUCAGCGAGGAGGAAGGCGUUAAGGUUAAUAACCUUGGCGAUUGACGUUACUCGCAGAAGAAGCACCGGCUAACUCCGUGCCAGCCGCCGCCGUAACAC